UACAGAGGUGGCAAGCGUUGUUCGGAAUUACUGGGCGUAAAGGGCGCGUAGGCGGUCCGAUAAGUCCCGUGUGAAAUCCCUCGGCUCAACUGAGGAAUGGCACGGGAAACUGCCGGGCUUGAGUUCGGGAGAGGGAAGCGGGAUUCCGGGUGUAGCGGUGAAAUGCGUAGAUAUCCGGAGGAACACCGGUGGCGAAGGCGGCUUCCUGGACCGACACUGACGCUGAGGCGCGAAAGCUAGGGGAGCAAACGGG
This 253-nucleotide ribosomal RNA is filed under the name uncultured bacterium. Its description in RNAcentral is "partial 16S ribosomal RNA". It matches the Rfam family "Bacterial small subunit ribosomal RNA", at positions 524 to 776 of the family's 1533-position model. The record is from RNAcentral.